RNAcentral lists this ribosomal RNA (335 nucleotides) under uncultured bacterium. RNAcentral describes it as "bacterial SSU rRNA". It matches the Rfam family "Bacterial small subunit ribosomal RNA", at positions 8 to 334 of the family's 1533-position model. The record is from RNAcentral.
AGGGUUUGAUUAUGGCUCAGGAUGAACGCUAGCUACAGGCUUAACACAUGCAAGUCGAGGGGCAUCGGGUGAGGGCUUUUGCCAUCACGCCGGCGACCGGCGCACGGGUGAGUAACGCGUAUCCAACCUGCCCAUGGCUGGGGGAUAACCUUGCGAAAGCAAGCCUAAUACCCCAUGGCCUCAUCCCGGGGCAUCCCGGUUUGAGUAAAGGUUUUCCGGCCAUGGAUGGGGAUGCGUCCGAUUAGCUUGCCGGUGGGGUCACGGCCCACCGGGGCGACGAUCGGUAGGGGUUCUGAGAGGAAGGUCCCCCACACUGGAACUGAGACACGGUCCAG